Molecule: long non-coding RNA, 3724 nt
Organism: Cryptomeria japonica (Japanese cedar)
Lineage: Eukaryota; Viridiplantae; Streptophyta; Pinopsida; Cupressales; Cupressaceae
Exons: 4
Source: RefSeq, a predicted model, not a curated record
UGCAGUCAUGAGGUGUAGGACCAGGCGAGAGUGUUUGAAUUCACAAAAAAUAUCCUUGAGAUGAUAAAUCUUCUCUUUCAGCAAAAAUUGUCUCCUCACUAAUCCACACGCCAGGUAAGUGGAAAGGACUGCUAUAGUAUUGAUUAUUUUAGAAUAAAAUUGAAAAUUGUCCAUGACAUAAACCCAGCUAUAAACAAGACUGUAAGGUAAAUCCAGCUAUAAACAGGCAAGUGAAGCUUAUACUCUUUUACAACUGGCAUUGCUACCUUUAAUUUUUAAUUUAAACAUAGAUUUGUAUGGCUCCCAUCCUUUUGGAUGGAUCAUGGACUUCUUUUGUUGAACAAUAAUAGUAAGCAGGUUUUUGCAAGAGUUUUUUACAGGUAUGUCUUGAUUAGAUGUGGAUCAGUAGUUAAUGUGUAUUUUUAUUGGGUUUCAAAAUACAAUAGUAAUAUAAAGUUGACUGAGCUUUAUUUGUUAUGUAUCAUAUUAAAUAGUGAAUUUUGUUUACCAUAGUAAUAUAAAGUUGACUGAGCUUUAUUGGUUAUGUAUCAUAUUAAAUAGUGAAUUUUGUUUACCAUUGGAAUAGAGUAAUUUUGAUUUUGGGUUAAAUAUUAUUUCAAAUGGAAUACAAGGAUACAAAUUUCUUUGGCUUUAGAUCUACAGAUUUGUGUAAAUUAGAGAAUGAAAUCCUAAUUUCUAACAUGGAAGCUAUGACGCCUGCUGCCCCUGUGAUGUGUAUAUGUUCUUGGGAACAUGCUUCUGUUUCCAUUAUUCUCUAUUGCAUAAGAGAUAGAACAGAGAACUAGGUAUUGGACAAGCUAAGAAUAAAGUUGAGAAUUGUCCAUGAUACUUUGGUCAAAUCGGUGAGGGUUAUAAGGUAAACCCAGCUAUAAACAGAAUUCUUUCAAAUGAAGCUUAUACUCUUUAUAUAACUGAUAUUGUUGCCUUUAAUUAAACAUAAAUUUGUAUGGCUCAUCCUUUUUGGAUGGAUACAAGAAAGGAAGGUUUGGAUCAUGGAGUUCUAUUGUUUGAACAAUAAUGCGGUGGAUCACAAUUCGUUGGCCUCAGGAUGUGUAGCUGCAAUGCCUUAUUGGUCCAUGCAUGCCUGUUCAGCAAUUUUUUGGUGUAGCAUUGUAUUUUUAUUUAGUUCAGAUAUAUUACAAAAAUAUCAUACCCUGCAAAUCAUCUACAAUGACAUACCCUGCUCAGGAAUUUUUUGGUCUAGCAUUGUAUUUUUAUUGGGUUUAAAAUAUAUUACAGAAAUGCCCUUUUGUGAUCUUUUAUUUUUUUUAUAACUGAGCAUUCAUACUCCUUAGCUUUUUUAACUUUCUGAUUUCUUUUUUUUUUUUUGGCAUAAAGAGGCACAAUAGGUGAAGAAGCAAUGAAGAGGAAGAGGCAAGAAAUGGAAAUAGCAAUUGAAUGAGGGAAUAUUUUUCUGUUAAUUCUUUGUAAAGGUUAUCUUUAUUUUAAGAAUUAAUUGAUUUUUGUGUCUUGCUAAAAUGAAUAGGAAUCACCGAGAAGGAAGCAACAAUCAAAUGGAAGCAAAAUUCUUCAUAUAAAUUAUCUUUAUUAUGAGAACUCAUAAAUUGUUUGUCUUGCUAGGAUAAAGUGGAAUCAUAGAUUGUUUAUCUUGUUUGACUUACAUAUGAGUUUUUUAAUUGUUUUUUCCUUCCCUGUUAAUACUUUAUUCUGUUUUCUUGUUCUUUCUUUAAUUGUAAUUUUUUUCUCAGUGCAUUGUUUGUUUGAUUUUUUUGAAGAGUUUGUUUUGAUUUUAUUUGUUUGAGGUUGUAUACAGUGUGCACACUGGUCUGUCUCUGUUAUUUGUUCUAGUCUUUUUUUUGGUUUUACAUUUUUAUCUGUGUUAUUUGUUCUAGUCCUUUUUUUGGUUUUACAUUUUUGUGAUAGCAGAUAAAAAAGCAAAGAAGGUGAAGAGGCAGAGUAGAGGAAGAGGCAAACAAAAGGCAAUGACAACUGAAUAAGGAUAAAAUUCUUUUUCCAUGUAAAUCUUUAUAUUGUUUAUCUUUAUUAUAAAAAAUUAAUGGGUUGUUUGCCUUGCUAAAAUGAAUAGGAAUCAUGGAUAAAGAAGCAACAAUCAAAUGGAGGCAGAAUUCUUCUUUUAAAUAAUUCUUCAUAUAAAUUAUCUUUAUUAUAAGAACUAAUGAAUUGUGUGCCUUGCUAGGAUACAGAAGAAUCAUAGAUUGUUCACAUAUGAAUGGCUAAUUGAACACUUAAGAUUUGACCACUUGAGAGGCCAUUUUCUAUUAAUCUUUCAAUUUUUACAGUUUUAUUUUUAAUAGAUUGAUUAAUGGUGGUGGUUUUCUUUUUUCUGUUAUUGCAGCAAAAUGCUGGAAGGUAAUUAAUGGUGGUGGUUUUCUUUUUUCUGCUUGUGUUUGUUUUUAUUUUUAGUAGAUUGAUUAAUGUUUUUGGUUGAGAUUCUAAUGUAGUCAUGAAAUGCAGAGAAAUAAAGAUGAGUUCGUUAUGAUUACAAGUACUUGUUCUAGGAGGCUAGAUUUCCAAAACAGCCAACCCCGUGUUUGAAUUCUCUGAUGCCUAAGCUCUAUAAACUCUUGUAGAUCUAAUAAAUGUCUACUGACCAACUUAUACAUCCAAAAAUGAAGAAUUAAAGUAGACUUACAUGUGUAUUUUUGUUUUUUCAGUAGACUUACAUGUGUGUAUUUUUGUUUUUUCAGGACUUCUCUUUUAGUUAAAAAUAUGAACCCAGCUAUAAGCAACUUACAUUGUUGCCUUCAACUUAAAUCCUUUUCUCAUGGAUUUAAGAAGGGAAGGGUUCGUUGGACUUAUCUCAGCAGUUCACUGACCUCAUCCUUUUCUUUGUAGAUGCAGACCAGUGAAGAGGGAGAGAAGAGGAACAGGCAAGAAAAGGAAAUGGCAAUUAAAUGAGGGUAAAUCAAUCAAAUGAAGGUAAAAAUUUUCUUCAAAAUAAUUCUUCAUAUAAAUUAUCUUUAUUAUAAAAACUAAUGAAUUAUUUUUUAUUAAAACUAAUGAAUUGUUUGUCUUGCUAGGAUGAAGAGGAAUCAUAGACAUAACAUUUUUUAAUUGGUUUUCCCUUUCCUGCUGAUGGUUUAUUCUAUUUUCUUGUUCUUUCUUUCAUUGUAAUUUUUUUCUCAGUGCUUUGUUUCUUCAAUUUUUUUAAGAGUUUGUUUUGUUUUGAUUUUUUUUGAAUUUUUCUUUUUCUUGUAAAGGUUGUAUACAGUGUGCACACUGGUCUGUCCAUGUUAUUCAUUUACUUUUUAUUUGUCUCUUUUUUUUCAUAUUAUAUUUUUGUGAUAGCAAAUAAAAAGACAGAGUUGGUGAAGAGGAAGUAGAGGAAGAGAUAGAGAAAAGGAAAUGACAAUUGAAUGAGGGCAAAAUUCUUUUUUCAGACUUCUUAUUUUUUACAGGUUCAUUGACCGUAGGAUGUCUGUCCAGCUACAAUUCUAGAUGUCCAGCUAUAAUUAUUUCAGACUCAAAAGGUGGAGGGUUGCACACAACCCUAGCAAACAUUUCCAGCAUGGUGAGAGUUACAUUUCCUCUUUGUAUUUAGAGCAGCAAGAGAUUGAGAUAGGCAUUGAUCAUUUCUUUAGUAAAAUUUUGGCCAAGCAUAGUGGUCAAGCAUUGUAAUAUGUAAAAAUAUAAUGUUUAAUAAAAGCGUUUUAUCAGAAGGGGUUAACAACCCUUUCUAAAGACUGAGGGGAAUAGCUAGUGGCCAUGGUUAUUCCUUAAG